This 771-nucleotide long non-coding RNA is filed under the name Sinocyclocheilus anshuiensis. Its description in RNAcentral is "lncRNA (ENSSANG00000032323.1)". Lineage: Eukaryota; Metazoa; Chordata; Actinopteri; Cypriniformes; Cyprinidae. The record is from RNAcentral.
CUAACUGCCCACCUGAAGAUUAAACUUUUAUUGUGGAGAAUGACAAAAGAAAAAGAAAAAGAAAAAGUGACUACAGUCAGCCUGAGGACUACAAAGGGUCUGAGAUCGGCUCAGGUUUGGAGGACAGAGGGAACACCCAGUCCAAUUGUGAGGGGAACGAAAACAAGCCACAUAUCAUCCUGUCAUUCAAGCCAGAGCAAAUGAGAGAGAAGAGGUUUUUGAAUGAAACAUUUACUCAAAAUUCAGAAGAUGAACACUCCACUGCAAAAAUGCCUGAUCAGCCAUUUGGAGUGCGUACAUCCUGGGAAGAUUGUGCUGUUGAACAAAUUAAAAACAUUGCUUAUGGGAGCAUCGAAGACUUAAACAAUGACAUCAGUGUACCAAUCAGAAUAAGCAAUUUUGUCCAAUAUGCCAAUGUAAUUGACAUUGUUCAAAAAUUUUGGAGGAAUCAGGAAAAGCAGGAUGUCACCCUUUUAGUUGGUAGAUUCUCAGUACGGUUGCAAGGAAGUGAUCUGUACUGUUGUCCAGUCAAAAAAGAUGAGAAAAAUCUUCAUCUUCAUUACAAAAAUCUUUCUUAUGCAACACUGAAACUAUCGAAAAGAAAUGCUAAAAACUUUUCUGAGACAAUUUGGAACUAUAUCAUGGGGAACCAUGACAAAGUUGAAUCUUAUGUACUGACACCUCAAGAUGCCACUGCAGUAUGUGCUGUUUUGUUCUCAGAAGUUAUUAGGUAUCCUGACAUGUUUUUCCACAACAUUCUUCUGAUGCAUU